This 342-nucleotide ribosomal RNA is filed under the name Staphylococcus chromogenes. RNAcentral describes it as "bacterial SSU rRNA". It matches the Rfam family "Bacterial small subunit ribosomal RNA", at positions 38 to 369 of the family's 1533-position model. The record is from RNAcentral. Lineage: Bacteria; Bacillati; Bacillota; Bacilli; Caryophanales; Staphylococcaceae.
GGCGGCGUGCCUAAUACAUGCAAGUCGAGCGAACUGACGAGGAGCUUGCUCCUUUGACGUUAGCGGCGGACGGGUGAGUAACACGUGGGUAACCUACCUAUAAGACUGGAAUAACUCCGGGAAACCGGGGCUAAUGCCGGAUAACAUAUCGAACCGCAUGGUUCGAUAGUGAAAGACGGUCUUGCUGUCACUUAUAGAUGGACCCGCGCCGUAUUAGCUAGUUGGUGAGGUAACGGCUCACCAAGGCAACGAUACGUAGCCGACCUGAGAGGGUGAUCGGCCACACUGGAACUGAGACACGGUCCAGACUCCUACGGGAGGCAGCAGUAGGGAAUCUUCCGC